RNAcentral lists this ribosomal RNA (354 nucleotides) under marine copepod environmental sample. RNAcentral describes it as "SSU rRNA". It matches the Rfam family "Eukaryotic small subunit ribosomal RNA", at positions 587 to 972 of the family's 1831-position model. Lineage: Eukaryota; Metazoa; Arthropoda; Copepoda. The record is from RNAcentral.
AGCUCCAAUAGCGUAUAUUAAAGUUGUUGCGGUUAAAAAGCUCGUAGUUGGAUCUCGGCAGCCCCAUUUGGCUGUGUGAUUGGCGGAGGUUCCGGGGUGCUCUUCGUUGAGUGUCCCGGUGCGCCGUCAGGUUUACUUUGAAAAAAUUAGAGUGCUCAAAGCAGGCUUUUCAGGCUUGAAUAUUCGUGCAUGGAAUAAUGGAAUAGGAACUCGUUCCUAUUUUGUUGGUUUUCGGGAAUCGAGUUAAUGAUUAAUAGGGACAAUUGGGGGCAUUAGUAUUCAAACGACAGAGGUGAAAUUCUUGGACCGUUUGAAGACUAACUACUGCGAAAGCAUUUGCCAAGAGUGUUUUCA